This 1102-nucleotide small RNA is filed under the name Oryza sativa Japonica Group (Japanese rice). RNAcentral's name for it is "sRNA Os01g0498802". The record is from RNAcentral. Lineage: Eukaryota; Viridiplantae; Streptophyta; Magnoliopsida; Poales; Poaceae.
ACACCAGCCGAGCUCUUCGAGCUCUCUCUCUCUUUCUCAGUUUCUCUCUCCAUCCAUGUCCGGCCGUCACCGCCUCCGGCCGAUCUCCUCCUCUAUAGCUCCCCUUCUAGUUUCUUUGCACCACUAGCUUCGCCUCACUCCGGUGAUUCCAUUUUUUCACUUUCCCCUCCCCUUCUACCCCAAACAAGCCAUCACCAAAACUCUCUCUCUCUUGCCAGUUCACACUAUUAUACUCGCCGUUCCGGCCAUCCUCCUCUCUGUCUCUUCCUUCCUGCACCCUCCCUAGGUGCGCCGCAUCCGGGAACACCAUCUCCCGCCGACUUAUCCACCUCCCAGCCACCGGAGCACCGCCGCCUUGCUCGCCCUCUCCUCUCUCUUCUCUCGGCUCCCACCGAGACAGAGGAAGAAGACGACGAGAAGAAGAGGAGGCAAAAAGAGACAGUGUCAAUCCAUACAACAAGUUCGACUAUCGAAUCCAAGGAGCUGACGUGGACCGAGAUGGCUACGCUGAAGCCACGGGAAAUCUUAAGGCGCAAGGAGCAGGAUUGGGGUGAACACAUGCGUAAGGAGGUGGAACUCGUGAAAGCAGCGACCAUGUAGCCUUGCUUAGGCCCAGCAAGUGCCCGACUGCUAGGAUGGAUCAAUAUCCCACUCGUGCAGUUGUUAACGACCAAAUUUGGUAAUAUCAGCAUCGGAAGUGAAGAUGAGAUCGAAGUGGAAUCAGAGAUAAGGAUUUCUGUGGGAACAGAGUAAGAAUCGGCUGGAGUCCGGAUCGGCUACGACCAGAAUCGGCUAAAUCCGAAUCAGACUAGGUUAGAUGAUACAGCCGAUUCCGAUAAUACAACUUGGUGUACAACAUCGGGUUGAGUUGAUAUGCUUCAAGAUGAUUGCCGCACGUGGAUAGAGUCCUGAGAGGGCAAUUGUAUCCAUUAAUUAGGAUGUUUUAUGUAAUUUCCUUAGAGAUAUGUUUAGGGCAAAAGUCUGUCGCAAAGACUUAUGGUAUUUUAGAGUUUGUUAGGGAUAAUAGUCGUGUCCGGUAUGGACAUAUCUUGUAACUCUCGGGUAUAAAUAGACCCCGGGUCCUAUGUAAUUUUUAACACAC